GCGGCUUUGGCGCAGUAGGUGGCGCGUAGGUCUCAUAAUCCUAAGGUCGCGAGUUCGAUCCUCGCAGGCCGCA
This 73-nucleotide transfer RNA is filed under the name Perkinsus olseni. It matches the Rfam family "tRNA". Rfam says of the family: Transfer RNA (tRNA) molecules are approximately 80 nucleotides in length. Their secondary structure includes four short double-helical elements and three loops (D, anti-codon, and T loops). Further hydrogen bonds mediate the characteristic L-shaped molecular structure. tRNAs have two regions of fundamental functional importance: the anti-codon, which is responsible for specific mRNA codon recognition, and the 3' end, to which the tRNAs corresponding amino acid is attached (by aminoacyl-tRNA synthetases). tRNAs cope with the degeneracy of the genetic code in two manners: having more than one tRNA (with a specific anti-codon) for a particular amino acid; and 'wobble' base-pairing, i.e. permitting non-standard base-pairing at the 3rd anti-codon position. Lineage: Eukaryota; Perkinsozoa; Perkinsida; Perkinsidae. The record is from Rfam by way of RNAcentral.